RNAcentral lists this long non-coding RNA (686 nucleotides) under Taeniopygia guttata (zebra finch). Its description in RNAcentral is "lncRNA (ENSTGUG00000027014.1)". The record is from RNAcentral. Lineage: Eukaryota; Metazoa; Chordata; Aves; Passeriformes; Estrildidae.
AAAUAAGAAUUUACCUCAGUUUAAGCCCCUUCGGUACCGCGCCCGAGCCUUUAAACCGCGCCCCGCAGGCCACGCCCACAUCAACCAUCACCAUGGCGACAGCGCGGCGGGUAUUAUAACCUCGCUUCAUUAGCAUAGAUUAGCAUAUGGAAAUAGGCGGGUUCACUACGUUUCCCAGCGUGCCCCGCGCGCCGAGGCCACGCCCACGGCCGUGACCUUGUCUGAGGGGAGGUGGGGGGGCUCGGGGACACCCCCGAGUUUAUCGCGACAGAGGCGACAGCGACAGCGACAGCGGCGACAUGGCCGGGCUGGGGAUGGGAGCGGGGCUGCGGCUGCUGCGGAGGAUCCCGCCCGGGCCGUGCUCCCCAAAACUGGGACCACCACGGCCACGGCAGCCCCCCCAAAAGCCCAGAAGAGCCUCGAGGUGAGUGGGGGGUCUUAGAGAGAUUUUGGGGGGAAUUUGGGGGAUUUUGGGGGUUCUUAGAGGGAUUUUGGGGGGAAUUCAGGGGAUUUUAGGGGGUCCUGGGGGGAUUUUUGGGGGGAAUUCAGGGGAUUUUAGGGGGUCCUGGGGGGAUUUUUGGGGGGAAUUCAGGGGAUUUUAGGGGGUCCUGGGGGGAUUUUGGGGGGAAUUCAGGUCAUUUUAGGGGGUCCUGGGGGGAUUUUUGGGGGGAAUUCAGGGAGUUUUG